UAUUAAAGAGCCGCAGUAUUGUGACUGUGCAAAGGUAGCAUAAUCAUUAGUUUUUUAAUUGAAAACUUGUAUGAAUGGUUGAACAAAAAAAAUUCUGUCUUUAUUGUAAAAAUUGAAUUUAACUUUUAAGUGAAAAGGCUUAAAUUUUUCAGGGGGACGAUAAGACCCUAAAAACUUUAUAAAUAAUUUAAAUUUAAUUGAAUUAAUAUAUAAUAAUGUAAUUUAGAUAUUAUAUUAUGUUGGGGCGACAUAAGUAAAAAUAAUAAUAACUGCUUGAGGUUUAAACAUUUAUAUUUGAAACAGUAGACGAUCCUUAUUAAAGAUUUUGAGAUUAAGUUACUUUAGGGAUAACAGCGUUAUUUUUUUUGAGAGUUCAUAUCGAAAAAAAAGUUUGCGACCUCGAUGUUGAAUUAAAUAUCUUUUUAAUGUAGCCGUUAAAAAAAGAAGGUCUGUUCGACCUUUAAAUUUUUA
Molecule: ribosomal RNA, 471 nt
Filed under: Heterocrypta occidentalis
Lineage: Eukaryota; Metazoa; Arthropoda; Malacostraca; Decapoda; Parthenopidae
Description: partial 16S ribosomal RNA
Rfam family: Bacterial large subunit ribosomal RNA
Source: RNAcentral